Molecule: ribosomal RNA, 253 nt
Filed under: uncultured bacterium
Lineage: Bacteria
Description: partial 16S ribosomal RNA
Rfam family: Bacterial small subunit ribosomal RNA
Source: RNAcentral
UACGUAUGGUGCAAGCGUUAUCCGGAUUUACUGGGUGUAAAGGGAGCGUAGACGGAGAAGCAAGUCUGGAGUGAAAGCCCGGGGCUCAACCCCGGGACUGCUUUGGAAACUGUUAUUCUUGAGUGCCGGAGAGGUAAGCGGAAUUCCUAGUGUAGCGGUGAAAUGCGUAGAUAUUAGGAGGAACAUCAGUGGCGAAGGCGGCUUACUGGACUGUAACUGACGUUGAGGCGCGAAAGCGUGGGGAGCAAACAGG